UGAACGAUUGAUAAUAAUAGUUAUUGUAUUAUCCAUUCCAACCUCUUUAAUCCAUCUGAUCACCUAUUCUCGUGUAUCAAAUCUUUCAGUCGUUAUAAACGCAUCAGAAGUAUCUACACAUAUUUGAGGAAGAUUUUCCAUUCCUACAUAAUAAAAAAAUUUCAAAAAAAAAUCCAAAAAAAAAAAAAUUCAAAAAAAAAAAUUGCAAAC
This 210-nucleotide long non-coding RNA is filed under the name Lathyrus oleraceus (garden pea). RNAcentral describes it as "Pisum sativum (pea) long non-coding RNA (PSAT_LNC017713)". The record is from RNAcentral. Lineage: Eukaryota; Viridiplantae; Streptophyta; Magnoliopsida; Fabales; Fabaceae.